AGCUUCGACUUAGCCGCCAUGGUCGCAACAACCCUACCGGAACGCGCGCGCUCUAGCCUAGCACAACAACGGCCUCCCAACCACCCCGCAUCGAGCUCGGGCCUAUAUGACCUAUGCCACCGCAACUCCGCGCCCUUGAUUCGGGCAGAUUGAUGUUAGCCACGGUCUUGAGCGCGGAAGGAGGGCGUGAAUGGAGAAAUUGGGGGGGCACCAUAGUCAAUUGCGCCCAGACACCGUCGGAGGGUCCGUGGGCCGUGCCCGGGAGCUUCCCUAAGCCGCCACGAUGGUGCUCGUCAAUCGUCUCGGGCGUGUGCGACGGUCGGCGAGCAACAAUUUCUCGCCGAACUUUGACUUUGCCGCACAACGACGCACCACCAUGGAUUGCGCCGGUAGCAUCUAGCUCCGUGGUGAGAACCUUUUUCCUUUUAUUCGCUUAAGGAGUAGAUUUCGUUUGGUGUUGAGUUUGGGGGCACCUGCGGUAGGAACUGACGACCAGAGUUGUAGCUCUGCUGCAACAUCACAAUGUGUCGUGGCUCAACUUUCCUCUACCCCUAUGGCUGGAAUUGGAUAACCCUCUCCACUCGUUAGGUCUUUCACAUGGGGUAGCACGUGUCUUGCGUGGGUCGCGGCGCCAAGGCUGUUGACUUACGUCGUCGGCGAUUCAUUCCGCCGUGGGCGCGGUGGAGCCACCAUGUUUGGGGCGAGUCCUCAGGUGGAAGACAGCCCCUGUCCGUUGGUUUUCCGAUGAGCGGUUGAGAUUGAGUCGGGCUAUAGCGUUUCAAGGAUUCGAUCGCGAUCGUCGACUUUUGAUCGGGUGGCCUUCCUGGGGCCCUAGUGUCCACCAUCGAUCUUAGGAUCAAUGGUCUUGAAGAAAAGCCCUAUAAGGUUGGGCCGAUCUAAUCUGGACCCCAAAUUUCAGAUCGGGUGGCCCAUGUCUCGUGAUACCCCUUCGCCAUGCCAUUUUCACUUAAGAGCCCUAGAGAGAAGUAGGAUUUAACUUGUCGUCCUCUGUAGUAGAAAAAAAUGCAAUAGUCAGGUCCCCAGCUUUAUAAUUUGGACCCUAGGCAUUCACAAUAUUAUGCUCAUAGUCCAAUCAGUUGUAUAAUUAGUAAAAAUACACUGAAACUGAGUUUCUUAUAUAAAAAUAAUUCCAGAAUCUCAUUUAAUUCAUAGAAAAUUCAUUUUAACUCCUUUUUGAUCCGGUCCAGUUGCAUUAAUUUUGUAUUAAUAUUGUUUAUCACCUGGUAACUCUGUUGUAUCCUGAAACAUAUAUCAAAAUUAUCCACUUAAUUUAUUGUAUACUCUUUGGAAAAUCAUAACUCUUUAACCGUAACUCCGAAUUUAGUGAUUCUCGAACCUGCGAUCUCGUUACGAUGCGUAGAAACUUAUCAUGCAUUCUAUUCUAAUAUUUGGUGUGAUGUUAAUUUCUCCUGUACCAUAUUUGUUUGUAUUGUGGCGAGUAGAUGAGCAAGCAACUGAGGACCCAGGUGCUCAGCAGGUGGAAACUAUUGAACAUGAGCUCGUUGAAAGCAAGUUGUGCCCUUGACCACUUUUAAUUACCCAAUAAUGUUCUCUAUAAUCACUAGGCAUGUUUAGGCUUAAUUUUGAUGGGACCCAAUAGGUCACCCUAGUCUGCUUUAAUUUGUGCCUUGAUCACCACUGAACUUUUGGGUAGUCCUGCUAUUGCUAUAUGUGGUUUUGGGUGUUGAGAUAAAUUUGACACAUGAUCAUUCUUUAUUAUGAUUGUUGAUUAUUUAUUGUUCAUGAUAAGUUUACUGUGUUAAUUGGAACAUGGAGAACCACCCAGGAAAACAGUGCUACCACAAGGGUAGAACGGGACACCCUUGGCCAAGUAAUUAGGAAAGCUGGGAGAGAUUACCUUACCUGAAAGGGGCAAGCGGGGAGGUGUCGCUGCAGAUUAUAGGGAGGUUCUCGGGUCGGACUGUCUGUUUAGCUUUCCAGACGGGGGAUUCCUAUGCUUCCUUCUUCCUGAAUCCGUAGCGGGUAUUCUCAAACUAGUGGAACUUUGGAAAGGCCUCGUAGUGCUACUCUGCCUUGUCUCCUCGGUAAAGAUGAAUGAGACUUCUAGACCCCUUGGCAAAUGGGUAGCAUGGCUUGUGGGUAAAGAUGUGCAAUCUCUGCAGAGUGUAAAACUGGUAUAUCAGUCGUGCUCACGGUUAUGAGCGGCUCGGACACUCACACGAUUAAUUUAUGGAAGUAAAUUUAAUUUUUCAUUUGCAUCGCAUUGUGGUUUAUUAUUAAUUUUGAUCUACUAUUACUUUGGGUUGGUAUACACCUACAUUUAGUAACUGCUAAAUAAAUUUUUGACCAACUUAUUAAAAACAAUGCUCAGCUUCAACCAUUAUUUAUUGAACAGCCUUACACUUCACAUGAGCUCCCACCUUUGGUGAGUCCAUGCAUAUUAUUCCCCACAACUUGUUGAGCUAUGAUCUUUUGUGAGCUCGCCCUUGCGAUAUAUAACCCCCCCAUAGGUGAAGGCAGGUAGUACAGAAGGAGGUCUACAACGAGGAGUACGAGCUUACCUAGGUAGUGUCUCCCAGUUAGCUUCAUGGCACCAAGGAAUAAUUAAUAGUUCGCUUUAUUAUUAUCAUUUAUUUUUGUAAGACAGUUCCGCUAUGUAAUAAUAUUUUUGACAUUUAUCUCUAUACACUUGGUCAUUAUAUGUGUUGUUCUUCUUUAGCGCACAUAUGAAAUGCACCCGUCUUUAUUCCUUAAAUCUUUAUUCCUUAAAUCCGGGUGUGACAGAAGUGGUAUCAGAGCAAAUGUUGACUGUAGGACGAAACCUAGAUAAAACUAGACAAAACCCUUACUUACUUACCUUUACUCUGAUUCCUUCUAUACUUUUCUUGAUCCAGUCUCACCUUUGGCUGUUCUACUCUAACUAUUCAUAUCUUUUCUACUCUAGAAAGACAAGAAGGAUUUCACACCUUGGAAUCCUGCAUAUAAGAACCUCUAAAGAAAUUGGAGCCCUAAGACAAAAAAAUAAUAUAUAUUUUCUCUAUCUAAAUUGUUUGAAUGUUUGUUCUAAUGAUAAAUGCUUGAUUUGCUUCUUUGAUUGACUGAAAUAGUAUAGCAGGGCAUUCUAGCAUGUACCACCAUAAGGUAAUUAGUAGUUGACACACUACUCUACUGAGCUAUUAAGAUCGCAAAAGAUCAUGUCUCAUAGUUACUUGUAUUAUCUGCAAUUCUAUCUUACCAUGUGUUUCUAACCUAGAUGGUCAAUACCAGGAAGGGAGGCGAUAUCGAUCUACCUGGCAACAGGCAUCGCAGGAGGAUUGCUAACCAACCACAACCAGAGAUGAAUCCUCCAUCGAACCCUCCACCGACUGGGACAGAUUCAGUAGCUGCCGCUGAGAUGCAGCUGCUGCAGAAGAUGGCAAAUACUAUGACGGAAAUGCAAGCUUAGAUGUGUGGCAAGAACGUCAAAAGAUGCGCCAGGAGCAGCAGGAAAUGCGACAGGAGAUGAGAGAAGAACGACAGCAACAACCACCACUACCUCCACCACCACCACCAGCUCCACCCUAGGACAAGUACUGGGAAUUCAUGAGUCACAAGCCAUCCACAUUCUCCAGCUCUCUAGAUCCUCUACAUGCAGAUGAUUGGCUGAAGUCAGUGGAGAAGAUGCUCAAUAUUGCUCAAUGUACUGACCGGGAGAAGGUGCUAUAUGCGUCGGGUUGUCUCACUGGCCCCGCCGUUGAUUGGUGGGACUCCUACUGUGCGGCCCAUGCUGCUGCCAACACUAUCAACUGGGCAAAAUUUUCUACACAAUUUAGGAACUAUCACAUUCCUGCAGGCUUGAUGAAAAUUAAGAAGAAGGAAUUUUUGUCACUUACGCAAGGCAAACUGACAGCUAGUGAAUACCGUGAUAAAUUUAUUUAGCUAUAAAGGUAUGCUUUAGAGGAGGAGGCUGAUGAUGAAAGGAAGCAGGAGCAGUUCAUGGAGGGACUCAUUGGGCCACUCCAGUACCAGCUGGUAUCUCAUACCUUCCCAUCUUUCCAGAGGUUUCUAGACAAGGCUAUAGCUAUUGAACACAAACGUGUUCAGCUGAGUGAGAUGAAGAAGAAGGCUAUCACCUAGGGACAAGGGAGCAGUAGCAUCCGUCCUCGCUAUGUUCCACCCCAGGGUACACCAUCUCGUCCUAGAGGAGGGCAACAGUCCUACCAACGACUGGCUCAUCAGACACCAUAUGCGACUCCACAGACCCCACAUACUCGUCAGGCUGCCCCCACUAGCACCCCAGCGAGACCUGCUGGACACGGUACAGUCACCACUUGCUUCAAGUGUGGUGAGGUUCGGCACUACGCCAAUGCUUGUCCGAAGUGGAACCCAAACACACACGCUCGAAGCAAUAUUCAGGGCAAGCAACAGACUUCGGCUACCGACAAGGGUUUCAGUAUUGCUAGAGUAAACCAAGUUAGUGUUGAUGCUACUACUGACAGUGCUGAUAUUGCUAUCGGUGCAUUUUAUAUUAAUUCAGUUCCUGUAGCUAUAUUAUUUGAUUAUGGAGCUACGCAUUCUUCAUUUUUGCUCGCUAUGUCGACACAAAUGAGUUACCACUUCAAAAUAUGCAAAACCCCAUGAUAGUAAUCACCCUAAAGGGCCUAUUGAAGCAAAUUAUAUGACAAACAAAUUAACACUGACAAUCAUGGGGAGGGAAUUAUGGUCUAUGCCUAUAAUAUUAGAGGAAAGCACUAUAGAUCUGAUACUUGGUAUGUCAUGGUUAAGGAAAGCAAAGGCAGUUAUACAUUGUGCUAGGGGAACCGUAGAACUCACCAGUCCAAAAGGAGAAAAAUUCGAAGUCAUGAUUACCCUAACCCCCUCUACCGGACCCGCCAUAUAUCUAGUAGAUGGUAAAUUUGUGGACAGAAAUAUCCGUGUGGUUGGAGAGUUCCCAGAUGUCUUUCCAGUGGAGUUACCCGGGAUGCCACCCGAUAGGGAAGUUGAGUUUGUUAUUGAUCUCUUACCUGGAACCGCUCCUAUUUCUAAAAGGCCAUACAUGAUGUCAGUGGAAGAAUUAAAAGAACUUAAGAAACAAAUAACAGACUUGCAGGAGGCGGGGUACAUUCGUCCGAGUUCCUCACCUUGGGGAGCACCGGUUCUGUUUGUACAGAAGAAGGAUGGUUCACAAAGGAUGUGUGUUGAUUAUAGAUCACUUAAUGAUGUCACAAUUAAGAAUAAGUAUCCUUUACCUUGUAUCGAAGACUUGUUUGAUCAGAUGAGAGGUGCCAGGGUAUUCUCUAAGAUUGAUCCCAGAUCUGGUUAUCAUCAAAUGAAGAUUAGGCCUUCUGAUAUUCCCAAGACAGCUUUCUCUACCCGAUAUGGUCUAUAUGAGUUCACGGUCAUGUCAUUUGUCUUAAAUAAUGCACCGACCUACUUCAUGAAUCUGAUGAACAAGGUGUUCAUGGAGUAUCUUCAUAAGUUUGUCAUGGUAUUCAUCGACGACAUACUGAUUUAUUCCAAGAAUGAUAGUGACCAUGAGGAACAUCUGUGAUUGGUACUACAUAAGUUAAGGGAUAAUCAACUCUAUGCCAAGUAUAGCAAGUGUGAGUUCUAACUUGUCGAAGUAGCAUUUCUUGGACACAUCAUCUCCAAUGGAGGAAUAUUAGUAGAUCCUACUAAAGUGAGAGAGAUAGUGGGAUGAAAGAUACCAAGUUCUGUCACGGAAAUCUGGAGUUUUCUAGGACUCGCGGGUUAUUACCAGUGUUUUAUUGAGGGGUUCUCCAAGAUAGCAAAUCCUAUGACCUCACUAUUGGAGAAAGAAAAAGAGUUUAAGUGGACUCAUGAAUGUCAAGAAAGUUUCAAUGGACUGAUGUUUUGAUUGAUGUCGCCCCCAAUAUUGAUUAUGCCAGAUCUACAGAAGGGAUUUGAUAUAUAUUGUGAUGUGUGCCACCAGGGCUUGGGAUGUGUCCUUAUGCAAGAAGGACAUGUCAUUGCCUACGCGUCUCGCCAGUUGCGGAAACAUGAGUUGAACUACCCCACUCAUGACUUAGAACUGGCAGCCAUAGUGCAUGCUCUCAAGAUUUAGAGGCAUUAUAUUAUGGGAACUAAGUGCCAAGUCUAUACUGAUCAUAAGAGUUUAAAGUAUUUCUUCACUCAGAAAGAUCUAACCUUAGGCAACGCCGUUGGUUGGAGCUCAUCAAACAUUAUGACUUGGAGAUUCACUAUCAUCCAGACAAGUUGAAUCUUGUUGCAGAUGCCUUGAGUUGGAAAGAACAUGUUCAUGCAGCUAUUGUUACCCAAUUACCUGAUGAGUUAGCAGAAGAUUUUGCAAAGCUCAACCUAGGAAUAGUUGCUCAUGCAGAAGGAGUUACCAUAGAGGUAGAACCUACCUUGGAGCAAGAAAUACAAAAGGGUCAAAUCGGUUAUGUUAAAAUUCAGGAGAUCAAAGAUCUAAUGGCAGAAGGUAGAGGUCUAGACUUCAUGGAGGAUGAGCAGGGCACGAUCUGGUUCAAGAACAUGAUUUGUGUCCCUGAGAUUGAUAGUCUUCAUGAAACCAUAUUGAUGGAAGCACAUGACUCAGCCUACACCAUUCAUCCUGGCAGUACUAAGAUGUAUCAUGAUCUGAAACAAAAGUAUUGGUGGUAUGGUCUGAAAAGGGGUGUUGCUUCACAUGUGGCAGUGUAUGAUGUUUGCUAGAGGGUAAAAGAUGAACAGCAGAGACCAGCUGGAUUACUUCACCCACUAAAUGUACCCGAGUGGAAGUGGGAAGAAAUUGGUAUGGACUUCAGUGUUGGUCUACCUUGCACUUUUGCUAGGUAUGACUCUAUUUGGGUGAUUGUGGAUAAACUAACAAAAGUGGCUCACUUCAUUCCUGUGAGGACUAAUUACACGGGGGCCAAGCUAGCUGAGUUGUAUAUGGCCCGGAUAGUUUGUCUACACGGAGUACCUAAGAAGAUCGUGUCAGACCGGGGAUCUGAAUUCACUUCUUGGUUUUGGCAUAAGUUCAACGAGUGCUUGGACACGAAGUUGAAUUUCAGCGCGGCCUACCAUCCUCAAACUGAUGGGCAGACCGAGAGAACCAACCAAGUACUAGAAGAUAUGUUAACAACUUGUGCUCUUAAACAUGGUGGCGGUUGAGAUAAGAGUUUACCCUAUGCAGAGUUGUCUUACAAUGACAGUUACCAGGACAGUUUGAAGAUGUCCCCGUUUGAGGCUUUAUAUGACAGAAAAUGCAGGACUCCUCUAUACUGGGAUCAAACUGGUGAAAGGCAGUUCUUUGGGCUAGAAAUUAUACAAGAGGCAAAAGAACAAGUCCGAUUGAUAAGGGAGGAUUUGAGAACUGCGCAGUCCAGGCAGAAAAGCUAUGCAGAUACCCGGAGAAGGCAGUUAGAGUUUGAGGAGGGUGAUCACGUGUAUCUGAAGGUGUCACCGAUCCUGGGUAUGAGGAGGUUUAAAGUUAAAGGAAAGUUGUCCCCUCGCUUUAUUAGACCCUUCAAGAUCCUAAAGCAAGUGGGGGAUGUUGCCUAUCAAUUGGAACUAACCGACCAUCUAGCAGAUGUACAUGAUGUAUUCCAUGUAUCCGAGUUGAAGAAGUGCCUCAUGGUACCAGAAGAGCAACUAGCCAUGGAGGAACUUAGUGUUCAAGAUGAUCUGACUUAUAUUGAGUAUCCUAUCAAGAUCACUGAUACUUUGACUCAUGUUACGAGGAAUAAAGUGAUCAAAAUGUGCAAAGUGCAAUGGAGUCAUCACAGUGAAGAUGAAGCUACUUGGGAGAGAGAAGAAGAACUACGAAUAGAAUUUCCCCACCUCUUCCCUAGUUCAUCUUAAUCUCAAGGUCGAGAUUCCUUUUAAGGCGAGUAGGAUUUGUAAACCCUAGUAUAGAGUACCCAUGACUCUAGUCAGUUGAGAAAUAAUAAAGGAGGCAUUUUGAGUAUGUGACUUAUUCAUGAGGCAUAUUUCUUUUAACUAAAUACCAAAUAAACACAUGAUAUUAUGCAUCAUGCUGGAAUUCCUUUGUUUGUGCAUUAAAACUCAAACUUAUAAUUAAAACAAAAACAAAUCUAGCUUUGAAUUCAAAUUUGUGCUCUAAAAAAUAUAGGAGUAAAGGAGUGAAAAAUAAUAGGAACAAAAAUAAAUAAAUAAAUAAGGCAAAUAGUUGGAGUUAUAUUCACAUUUAGAAUUCUAUUAAAUUUUGCAAGACUGAAAAUUCAAAGCCAGAAUUUGAAUUUAGUUUUAAUCUUUGAUUUGGAGAUAAAAUAGGAAUUUUUAAAAGAAAAAGAAAGAAGAAGUCAGCUGGGCCGCUACUCCCCAUUUUGGCCAAGUGAACCCAUUGUCGCGGCCUAUUCUCGUGCACGCGCACCCAGUGCCACUGUAGAGUGGGACCCACUCAUCUGCGUCUUACACGCACUCUGGCCGUAGGAUCCUUGCGCCGAUAAUACAGUUCCACGCGCCAGCCUCACCCCUCACCAUCCUGCAGGGCGCUUGUGCCUGGGGUGUCGGUCACCGAGUCGUAGGACCCAUGCCGCAGCUCCGGCUCAGCUGCUAAUCUGCCAUUGUCGCAACAACCCUACCGGAACACGCACGCUCCAGCCUGGCAUAGCAAUGGCCUCCCAACCACCCCGCAUCGAGCACGGGCCUAUAUGACCUAUGCCACCGCAACUCCGAUCCCUUGAUUUGGGCGAAUCGAAGUUAGCCAUGGUCUUGAGCACGGAAGGAGGGCGUGAACGAAGAAAUUGGAGGGGCACCGUAGUCGAUUGUGCCCGUACACCGUUGGAGGGUCCGUGGGCCGUGUCCGGGAGCUUCCCUAAGCUGCCACGGAUCUAUCGUCUUGGGCAUGUGUGACGGUCGGCGAGCAGCAAUAUCUCACCGAACUUCAAGUUCGUCGCACAACUACGCACCACCGUGGAUUGCGCCGGUAGUGUCUAGCUCCCCGGUGAGAACCUUUUAUUCCCUUAAGGAGUAGAUUUCGUUUGGUUUUGAGUUCGGGGGCACCUGCUGUAGAACUAACGACCGGAGUUGUAGCGACGUUGCUACAUCACAACGCGCCAUGGCCUUGCUUUCGUCUACCCCUAUGUCCGGAAUUGGAUAACCCUCACCACUCGUUAGUUCUUCCACAUGGGGUAGCUCAUGUCUUGCGUGGGUCGCAGCGCCAAGGCUGCUGACUUACGUCGCCGGUGAUUCGUUCCGCCGUGGGCACGGUGGAGCCAUCGUGUUUGGUGGGAGUCCUCAGGUGGAAGACGGCCCCUGUCCGUUGGUUUUCUGAUGAGCGAGUGAGAUUGAGUCGGGCUAUAGCAUUUCGAGGAUUCGAUCACGAUCGUCGAUUGUCUAUCGGGUGGCCUUCCUGGGGCCCUAGUGUCCACCGUCGAUCUUAGGAUCAACGGUCUUGGAGAAAAGCCCUGUAAGGUUGGGCCGAUCUAAUCUGGACCCUAGAUUUCAGAUCGGGUGGCCCAAGUCUCAUGCUACCCUUUUGUCGUGCCAUUUUCACUUAAGAGCCCCCAAGAGAAUUAGGAUUUAACCCCCCGUCCUCUACAGUAGAAAAAGUGUUGUAGUCAGGUCCUCAGCUUUAUAAUUUUGACCCUAGGCUUUCACCAUAUUAUGCUCGUAGUCCAAUCAGUUGUAUAAUUAGUAAAAAUACAUUGAAAUUGAGUUUCUUAUAUAAAAAUAAUUCCAGAAUCUCAUUUAAUUCAUAGAAAAUUCAUUUAACUCCUUUUUGAUCCAUUUCAGUUGCAUUAAUAUUGUUUAUCAUCUGGUAACUCGGUUUUAUCAUUAAAGAUAUAUUAAAAUUAUCCACUUAAUUUAUUGUAUACUAGGCACUUAAAACUUUGAACAAUCAUAACUCUUUAACCAUAACUCCGAAUUUAGUGAUUCUCGAACCUGCGGUCUUGUUACGAUGCAUAGAAUAUUAUCAUGCAUUCUAUUAUGACGUUUGGUGUGAUGUUAAUAUCUCCUGUACCAUGUUGGUUUUUAUUAUGGCGAGUAGACGAGCAAGCAACUGAGGACCCUGGAGCUCAGAGGUGGAAACUAUUGAACAUGAGCUCGUUGAAGGCAAGUUGUGCCCUUGACCAUUUUUAUUUACCCAAUAAUGUUCUCUAUAAUCAUUAUGGAAUGUUUAGGCUUAUUUUUGAUGCGACUCAAUAGGUCACCCUAGUCUGCUUUAUCUUGUGCCUUGAUCACCACUGAACUUUUGGGCAGUCCUGCUUUUGCUAUAUGUGGUUUUGGGUGUUGAGAUAAAUUUGACACAUGAUCAUUCUUUAUUAUUAUUGUUGAUUAUUUAUUGUUCAUGACAAGAUUACUGUGUUAAUUGGAACAUGGAGAAAACACCCAGGAAAACAGUGCUACCACAAGGGUGGAAUGGGACACCCUUGGCCAAGUAAUUAGGAAAGCUAGGCUGAGAUUACCUUACCUGAAAGAGGCAAGCGGGGAGGCGUUGCUGCAGAGUAUAGGGAGGUUCUCGGGUCAGACUGUCUAUUUAGCUUUCCAGACGAGGGAUUCCUAUGCUUCCUUCUUCAUGAAUCCGUAGCGGGUUUUCUCCUACUAGUGGAACUUUGGAAAGACCUGGUAGUGCUACCCUUCCUCGUCUCCUCGGUAGAGAUGAAUAGGACUUCUAGACCCCUUGACAAAUGGGUAGCAUGGCUUGUGGGUAAAGAUGUGCAACCUCUGCAGGGUGUAAAACAAGUAUAUCAGCCGUGCUCACGGUUAUGAGCAGCUCAGACACUCACAUGAUUAAUUUAUGGAAGUAAAUUUAAUUUGUCAUUUGUAUCGCAUUGUGAUUUAUUAUUAAUUUUGAUCUACUAUUACUUUGGUUUGGUAUACACUUACAUUUAGUAACUGCUAAUAAAAUUUGACCAACUUAUUAAAAGCAAUGCUCAGCUUUAACCAUUAUUUAUUGAUCAGCCUUACACUUCACAUGAGUUCCCACCUUUGGUUAGUUCAUGCACAUUAUUCCCCACAACAUGUUGAGUUAUGAUCUUUUGUGAGCAUACCCUUGCGAUAUAUAAACCUCCCCCCACAGGUGAAGAGCAGGUAGUCCAGGAGGAGGUCUACAAUGAGGAGUACGAGCUUAUCUAGGUGGCGUCUCCCAGUCUGCUUGAUGGCGCCAAGGAAUAAUUAAUAGUUCGCUUUAUUAUUAUAAUUUAUUUUUGUAAGACACUUCCGCUAUGUAAUAAUAUUUGUGACAUUUAUCUCUAUACACUUGGUCAUUAUAUGUGUUGUUCUUGUUUGGCGCACAUAU
This 11191-nucleotide long non-coding RNA is filed under the name Zea mays. Its description in RNAcentral is "long non-coding RNA (ZMAY_LNC001665)". Lineage: Eukaryota; Viridiplantae; Streptophyta; Magnoliopsida; Poales; Poaceae. The record is from RNAcentral.